Non-coding RNA from Cinara cedri, 220 nucleotides. NCBI's taxonomy places the organism in Eukaryota, Metazoa, Arthropoda, Insecta, Hemiptera, Aphididae. The record is from the annotation of a GenBank genome assembly.
CCGGAAUCGUGGAAUCAUUUUGUACAAACGAUUUCGACGUGAUGUAGUUUUACCUAUCUAAAAUAUAAUACAAAAUACCUACGAGUCAAACUUUUUACUUCCAUUCGUUGUAUAAUAUUAUAAUGUAUUAUAAAUAUCGCACCCAAGAAAGAAUAGGUUAGCGGCACAAAUAUUUGAAAACGAUGUGAAAUCGACUUAUAACGUUUCACCAUUCUUCGUA